Molecule: transfer RNA, 67 nt
Filed under: Marmota monax (woodchuck)
Lineage: Eukaryota; Metazoa; Chordata; Mammalia; Rodentia; Sciuridae
Description: tRNA.Ile
Source: RNAcentral
GGAUGUGGCUCAGUGGUACAGUUCUUGCCUGAUAUGCAUGAGGCCUCAGGUUCAAUUCUUAGCACCA